Long non-coding RNA from Homo sapiens (human), 720 nucleotides. Ensembl annotates it as long intergenic non-protein coding RNA 1192. NCBI's taxonomy places the organism in Eukaryota, Metazoa, Chordata, Mammalia, Primates, Hominidae. The record is from Ensembl.
GGGAAAGAGGUGGCAUCGGCGGUUCAAGACUGAGUUUUCUAUCUCUUCAGUGCCUCUUUCAACAAUGAAGAUCAAACCAGGUACUGAGGUAGUGGGAGUGCUCAUCUAGUUUUUGGCUUUUAGUUUUGUGCAAAUAUCUGCUGAGUGAACUACUUAUUUGAAAAUACAUCAUUGGUUAAUAUUCCCUUUUGCUCAUUGAAAUCUCAAAGACUACAGACCCCGCACAAGACAUUCUGACAUUCCCGUCUUUGAAAUGAAUGACAGCAAUGAUAAAUAUGGCUCACCUCCAGAGAUACAGAUCUCACAACUUCAUAUUUUUAAUAUAAAUUAUUAAUCUGAGAAGCAGAGAGAGAUAAGACCCAUGAUAAUCAAGCCAUAAACAGAUGCAUUUACUAGCUGAAUGGCCAACAAUGGAAUUCAACAAAUCCAUCUUGAGCACGGCAGCCAGGAGUGUGGUGCAAUUCCAUUAGAUGAAAGAGAUCUACACAUUCAGAAGCACAUGAUUCUUCCCCCUUCCAUGAUUCCAGUGGCCAAUAGGUAAUCAGAACUUCUCUGUUCAGCUAAAAGACAGAAAAAGAGCAUAUGAAAGACGUAUUUUCCCAGAAGUGCUCAUCCUGAUAACUGUGUACAGCACUACUGCUCAUAUUCCAUUGGCCAAUAUUUAGGUAGAUAACUUCACUAACUACAAGGUAUGCUGGGAAAUAAAGUCCAGAUAUGUGU